RNAcentral lists this transfer RNA (75 nucleotides) under Nostoc sp. RF31YmG. Its description in RNAcentral is "Nostoc sp. RF31Y tRNA-Arg". It matches the Rfam family "tRNA". From Rfam's summary of the family: Transfer RNA (tRNA) molecules are approximately 80 nucleotides in length. Their secondary structure includes four short double-helical elements and three loops (D, anti-codon, and T loops). Lineage: Bacteria; Bacillati; Cyanobacteriota; Cyanophyceae; Nostocales; Nostocaceae. The record is from RNAcentral.
GGGAGUGUCGCCUAAUGGAUGGGCAUCGAUCUUCUAAAUCGACCGAUGUAGGUUCGACUCCUACCACUCCUGCCU